CCUAGCUUCGGCUGGACAUAUACUAAAAUUGGAACGAUACAGAGAAGAUUAGCAUGGCCUUGCUCAAGGAUAUAAAUGCUGCAAGGGCCAUGCUGUGUAUUU
Small nuclear RNA from Wyeomyia smithii (pitcher-plant mosquito), 102 nucleotides. Lineage: Eukaryota; Metazoa; Arthropoda; Insecta; Diptera; Culicidae. The record is from RefSeq and is a predicted model, not a curated record.